GGUUCAGGACGAACGCUGGCGGCGUGCCGUAAUACAUAGGCAAGGUCGAACGGUCGUUUCUACGGAAGCUUGCUUCCACUGAGAAGAUAGUGGCGAACGGGUGAGUAACACGUGGGUAACCUGCCCAUAAGAGGGGGAUAACAUCCGGAAACGGGUGCUAAUACCGCAUAGUUUUCUUGAUCGCAUGAUUGAGAAAGGAAAGACGGCCUUUGUGCUGUCGCUUAUGGAUGGACCCGCGGCGUAUUAGUUAGUUGGUGAGGUAACGGCUCACCAAGACGAUGAUACGUAGCCGACCUGAGAGGGUGAUCGGCCACAUUGGGACUGAGACACGGCCCAAACUCCUACGGGAGGCAGCAGUAGGGAAUCUUCCGCAAUGGACGAAAGUCUGACGGAGCAACGCCGCGUGAGUGAAGAAAGGUUUUCGGAUCGUAAAACUCUGUUGUCAGAGAAGAACAAGUUGGAGAGUAACUGCUCCAGCCUUGACGGUAUCUGACCAGAAAGCCACGGCUAACUACGUGCCAGCCGCUGC
Molecule: ribosomal RNA, 529 nt
Filed under: uncultured bacterium
Lineage: Bacteria
Description: bacterial SSU rRNA
Rfam family: Bacterial small subunit ribosomal RNA
Source: RNAcentral